RNAcentral lists this small RNA (1504 nucleotides) under Histoplasma capsulatum var. duboisii H88. RNAcentral describes it as "Histoplasma capsulatum H88 hypothetical RNA". Lineage: Eukaryota; Fungi; Ascomycota; Eurotiomycetes; Onygenales; Ajellomycetaceae. The record is from RNAcentral.
CCACCUCAGUUCUACCGGCUCCUCCAUCUCCUCCAUCCCCCCCCAUCUCCCCAUCAUCACCUCUCAUCCCCUCUCUCCCCCUCCCUUCUCCUGUUCUCUCCCGCCUACCUCUAACCUCUCGCCUCUCACUCGACCUGUCGCAAAACUCCCACCCUCCACCCACCCGCCUCACCGACUUGACUCCCGCUCUCUUCUCAUCUUCCCACCCUCCACCCUCCACCCCCCGCCAUUAUCGAACCCUCUACGUUGUUGAAGUCUCUUCGUGUUUUAUUCCACUUCCCUAGCCUACGGCUGAGGCUCCACGCGCUUGUUCCUUUAGCGUGCGACCUGGAAUUGUUCCGCUUAUCUGCUUUAAAAGCCAGUUCUGCCUCAACGACCUGGAACAAAAGUUAAUCGCUUUCCAGCAUUAAAACAGAAAAAAACAAAAGGAUUUGCACCGAAAAUAUCCGUCCACACCACUACCAAUUAUUUCUCUCUACGUUCCAAUUCCAUCUUAGCUUCUCUUUAACAUUUCAAAAUGGCAAGCAACGAAUCUCGUGACGCCGCACCGGCCGUGACCGAUGAAGUCAUGACAGACUACAGUCGCACUGAGCAGGGCGAACCUGAAGGUCCACCGAAGACUGAUGAGGAAUAUGCCCAGUCCACGCUGACCCUUCGCGCCAUUGUUUCCUCCAAAGAGGCUGGUGUAAUUAUCGGCAAAGCUGGGAAGAAUGUGGCAGACCUACGUGACGAGACUGGUGUGAAAGCUGGCGUGAGCAAGGUCGUACAAGGUGUCCAUGAUCGAGUUUUAACCGUCACUGGGCCUCUUCAAGGUACUGCCAAAGCGUACGCCAUCGUCGCCAAGGGUUUGCUUGAGGGUGCUCCUCAGCUUGGAAUGGGUGGAGUUGCUUCGAAUAACGGUACCCAUCCUGUUCGCCUACUCAUCUCUCACAAUCAAAUGGGUACGAUCAUUGGCCGUCAAGGUUUGAAGAUCAAGUAUAUCCAGGACGCUUCUGGCGUUAGGAUGGUUGCACAGAAGGAGAUGCUCCCACAGUCUACCGAACGGAUCGUCGAAGUUCAAGGUACCCCAGAAGGGAUCGAGAAGGCUGUGUGGGAAAUUGGCAAGUGUCUUAUUGAUGACUGGCAACGCGGGACCGGGACUGUCCUCUACAACCCCGCUGUUCGCGCAUCUGUAGGCGGCGGCCCACCCAAUAAUUCGCUUGGAUCUGGGGCUUCUACAGGCGGUUACGGUGGACGUUCCUACAACCGUACCGGAAAUGGUGCCGAUUUCAGCGAUCAAACGGGGGGCUAUAACCGACGUUCCAAUUCCGAUGCAACCAGCCGUGGCAUCCCACUUGUAACUGAAGACGGAGAGGAGGUCCAAACACAGAAUAUCAGCAUCCCGUCCGACAUGGUUGGUUGCAUUAUUGGUCGCGGUGGAAGCAAAAUCAGCGAGAUUCGAAGGAGCUCAGGCGCUCGUAUUUCUAUCGCCAAGGCUCCCCAUGACGAAACUGGGGAACGUAUG